Long non-coding RNA from Salvia hispanica, 621 nucleotides. RefSeq lists it as uncharacterized. The record is from RefSeq and is a predicted model, not a curated record. Lineage: Eukaryota; Viridiplantae; Streptophyta; Magnoliopsida; Lamiales; Lamiaceae.
CUCCCCUUCUCCAACAUCUCACUCUCUCGCCACUCUCUGCCGGCGAUUUUGCCGUCGCCGGCGAGCGACGCCGGCCGCCGGUCACGUCUCCCCUCUCCCCUCUUUCUCUAUCUUGGUCUCUCUCUCUCUCUCUCUCGGCCUCUCUCUCUCUUUCGGCCUCUCUCUCUCUGCCGCCACGAACCGCCACCUCCGCCGUCGCCGCCGGGCCGCUGCUGCCGUCACUGGUGGGCCGCUGCCGCCGUCGCCGCCGGGUACACGGCGGUCUCAUCGCCGUUGACCGAGAGAGAUUUGGAUAGAUCGUGAAAAAGGGAUUAAUUUCGUUGUGAAAAGUCGGACAACCGCCGAAAUGUUGCCGGACUGCCGCCGGUCGCCGGAUUGCCGCCGCCGCCGGUGGGCCAUUGCCGGGCAGUAUCCCCGGGGUCCGGCAGCUUCUUCGCUCACGAGGUAUCGAGGUUCAAGGCGGGACUAUUGCGCAAGAUCCGAAGGGCAUGGAGAUUACUUUUAUCUAUUUUUCUUCACUCUAGUCAAACGUUGAACUCGAUGUUGAACAUGUAUGAACUUUUAUUUGAAGCUCGGUCUUUCAUAAACGGACUAUGAGAAUACUAUAGUAUUUUGUAAUAA